GCUUUAACAGUGGCUAUUGCACUCCCCAGGAAGCAGUCCUUCAGGCUGGGAGGCAACAGAAAGCUCCCCAGCUUGCCUGACAUUGCUUGAGUUGGUAAAAAGAAGAGACUUUUGAGACUUUGAGAAGCGACUUUUAGUGGUGGCCCACACCAGCCUACAUCAGUGAGCAAGUUAUAACUCCUUGAAUGUCGUGAAAGACUUGAAGAGGCUUUCCAGAACUGUGUUCCUCAGAAAACUCAGAGGUCUUUGUGGUGAAACUUGGACAUGGAGGCUUGUUUCUGAGAAGACAAGACCCAUCAUAGCCUUAUACCGGCUGCUGAGGUUC
This is a long non-coding RNA of Numida meleagris (helmeted guineafowl), 325 nucleotides long. RefSeq lists it as uncharacterized. The transcript has 3 exons. Lineage: Eukaryota; Metazoa; Chordata; Aves; Galliformes; Numididae. The record is from RefSeq and is a predicted model, not a curated record.